Molecule: long non-coding RNA, 2163 nt
Organism: Anguilla rostrata (American eel)
Lineage: Eukaryota; Metazoa; Chordata; Actinopteri; Anguilliformes; Anguillidae
Exons: 4
Source: RefSeq, a predicted model, not a curated record
AUCGUGAAUGCGCCGCCACAGUCAUCUACUAUCCGCCAGGGACUGGAUGAAUUAAAGAUCAAUAACAAUAUUCCAUCAAAUAUAACCAAUCACAAGCAGGGUCAGACUACACACGUACAUGGUUCCUUUCCAUAUUCAGGAAACGUCACGUUGUCCACCACCACGCGGGGAGGGGGGAGGAGUAUGCCAUGCGCCCUGUGGAAGGCGAUGAGGGCCUUCAUUUUUUGGGGGUUUAUUUUGGUUAUGUGACAUUUCAGAGCCCCAUUCCACAGACGCAUGAUGGAAGCAGUAGGAACCCGGAUGCACCAGCUUGAUCAGUGCACGUUUCAGGGACAGAGAAGGAUGUGUGUGGCGGCCUGUAGCCUCAUCCAAGCCUUCAGUAGCUACACCUCUCCAUGCCCUGAGACAACAGGCUCAACACUAGCCCAGCGCUGGUCACUGACAGGUCAGCUCCCAGAAUGCAGCUGUGUGUCGACAGCUCCAGCGGUUUUGUGCCUCCGCAAAAUUAUCUCACCGCUCUCCCCAGACAUUUCAGUUUCUCUGAGACGGGACGACGAACUGGGACCCCUCGUUCAGCAGAGAGGGUGUCCCUACGACCCAGAUUAGGGGGCCAAGACAGCUGCAUGCUGUCAUUUGACCUUCUGAAAUGUGUCGAUCGUCCCGUUAGAAAGCACUCCUGUGAUUUGGGAAAAAAGGGCGGGGAAAUUGCAGUCUCUUGUACAGGGCUCUGUGUGCUGGACAUUUUACAUUUAUUAAUUCUAAAGAAAAGCAUUUAAAUAAGAUAAAUGUCUAAGUGCCUACUUUAUAGUUUCCCUCAUCAUCAAAUGACAUAAAUUAUCCCAUAAGAUUUCCCACAGAAAAACAAACAUUUUCAAUGCACCAUUUCAUACUAUGUUUAUUGGUCAUAUGGUUAGAAGUAUUUCAAUAUUCCUUAAAAAAAUACAUGUAAAUUCACAAUAUGUGUAAGACACCUGUUAAUGAGAGUAAUAUUUAUAAACUUUUAGCAUGAGAAUAUAUUAGCAAUUCUGAACAUAAUGCAAAAAAUCAUUUUAUCAAUGUCAAUUCAAUAGCCCCAAUUUCUGAUGCCAUAGAAUGAAAAAAACUUCAUGAGACUGUGUGACUAAUUUUUUUUUUUAAGUACUUCAAAAACAUUAAAACAAUCAUAGAUUACAUUUUUCAAAAUGAUUAAGACAUAUUUCAAACCACUUUUCUGAUCCGAUGUAAUAACCUCCCUUGGAUGUCAUGCUGUUUAGUGUUAGAUAUGAAAUAGAGAAAGUUUUGAAGCCGUUUUGACUAUCUGAUAAACAAGCCCUAUGCGGAUUCAGAAGCGUUGCAGAAUGGCUCUGUAUUUAAUGCCAUGAGUGAGGUCAUGGGAGAUUCAUUGCCAAAGAGCACCCGUCUGCUCAGUUUGCAUCCUCUCACUGCUUUAUUAGGACCUGGGCUAUUUUCUUUGUGCUGGCAUGGCACAUAAAGUAAUGCAUUAAAUCAUGAUUCAAUCAUCCUUUCUUUUUGGCCACAGCUUAAGGCAAUCCGCAGAUGGCAGUGCCACUCGCUCAUUCACUCACUGACUCACUAACACAUUAGCUCACUGACUCACUAACUCACUAACUCAUUAACUCACUAACUCACUAACUCACUAACUCAUUAUUAACUCACUAACUCUGAGUGACCAGGCCCAAUGUCUACACUCUAACCUUAGUUUCACCACAAGGCUUGAGAAUAAGGGGAUCCUCUAAGGUCGUUAGCAUCCACUGAACAACGUUUUUCACUUGUUUUUUUCUGUAAACAGUCCAACAGUAUGGACAAGUUAAACAAUGUUAAACCAUUUCCCAUUAGAUUUCAGCCCAUUUAUCCCUUAUCUGAUGCUGGCUUUCAUCAAAUAUGUGAACUUGUACUGAACUGUGGCCAACUGCUCGCAAAACAUUACACUGGAACUAAGAGAGAAAGUUAAACAUCCAGACAGUAAGCCAGAGUGACACUAUAACUGCUUGAAAGCAUACAAACCAUGGAGAAGUAGCACUCACCAGAAAAGUCGCUGUGGUAUAGAUUAUUAUUAGUGGUCUAGGUAGGGGGUCUAUUCAGUAUACCACCAAGUAAAAUUACAAUAUUCAUGCCGAACAAAUCAGUAAUACAUUUCAAGUAGAUUUUUGCCACAAAUUAAGC